CCUACGGGUGGCAGCAGUCGAGAAUCAUUCACAAUGGGGGAAACCCUGAUGGGGCGACGCCGCGUGGGGGAAUGAAGGUCUUCGGAUUGUAAACCCCUGUCAUGUGGGAGCAAAUUAAAAAGAUAGUACCACAAGAGGAAGAGACGGCUAACUCUGUGCCAGCAGCCGCGGUAAUACAGAGGUCUCAAGAGAUGGUCGGAAUCACUGGGCGUAAAGCGUGCGUAGGAUGGUUCGUAAGUCGUGUGUGAAAGGCGCGGGCUCAACCCGCGGACGGCACAUGAUACUGCGAGACUAGAGUAAUGGAGGGGUAACCGGAAUUCGCGGUGUAGCGGUGAAAUGCGUAGAUA
RNAcentral lists this ribosomal RNA (347 nucleotides) under uncultured bacterium. Its description in RNAcentral is "partial 16S ribosomal RNA". It matches the Rfam family "Bacterial small subunit ribosomal RNA", at positions 338 to 696 of the family's 1533-position model. The record is from RNAcentral.